UACGUAGGGUGCGAGCGUUAAUCGGAAUUACUGGGCGUAAAGCGUGCGCAGGCGGUUCGUUGUGUCGGCGGUGAAAGCCCCGGGCUCAACCUGGGAACCGCGCUUGAGACUGGAGAACUAGAGUUCGGGAGAGGAUGGUGGAAUUCCCAGUGUAGAGGUGAAAUUCGUAGAUAUUGGGAAGAACACCGAUGGCGAAGGCAGCCAUCUGGACCGACACUGACGCUGAGGCGCGAAAGCGUGGGGAGCAAACAGG
This 253-nucleotide ribosomal RNA is filed under the name uncultured bacterium. Its description in RNAcentral is "partial 16S ribosomal RNA". It matches the Rfam family "Bacterial small subunit ribosomal RNA", at positions 524 to 776 of the family's 1533-position model. The record is from RNAcentral.